This 213-nucleotide long non-coding RNA is filed under the name Eutrema salsugineum. RNAcentral describes it as "long non-coding RNA (ESAL_LNC001475)". The record is from RNAcentral. Lineage: Eukaryota; Viridiplantae; Streptophyta; Magnoliopsida; Brassicales; Brassicaceae.
GAGUAGUUUGCCCAUCUCCUCUCUUGUUUAAUUAGACUUUCUGGUUAUCCAGAGUUAGUCUUACUCCGUUAUGAAAGUAGUCUUACACGUGUUCAUACACGUAUACCUUCAUGGGCCAAAGUUGUAACAUGUUGAUUUCUGUUUGGGCUUAUGUUGUAAAAUUGUUGGGCUUGAUCGACCAUGUAAUUACCCAAUUUGGGUCUUAAUAAAAAU